Long non-coding RNA from Bubalus bubalis (water buffalo), 531 nucleotides. RefSeq lists it as uncharacterized. Lineage: Eukaryota; Metazoa; Chordata; Mammalia; Artiodactyla; Bovidae. The record is from RefSeq and is a predicted model, not a curated record. The transcript has 3 exons.
AAAACAGCAGAGACAGUGGUGAGGUCUCAGGCAGAGGCUGCUGUUUGAGCAUUUCAGUACCACAGCCAACUGGAAACCAAUCACAAUUGGGAAACUUGGAGCUCUGCAGGAGAAAUCUAAGCUUCUAAGAGGUUGCAGCUAGACUGCUGGACUGCUGUGUACAUCCUGUGAUAGAUCAGACAAAUUUGGGCAUGUCUGAAGAGCAGCUAGGGGGCCUGGAUGGAUCCACCGAAACACUUUGCAUCCUCAGCUUUCUGGGGGUUGGCCUUCUUUCUGUGAUUUGCAGAAGAUCAUCCAAAACUGCUUGGCUAACUUGUUCUCCAGAGGACCGAGUGUGACAAUGUCGAGUUUUGAUGGCUUCAGCAAGUAGAAACCUGACUGCUUCCCAGAGCAGGAUGACUCUGCUUCCCCCGGGGCCUUUGUCAGUUCCUCCCACUGUGCUUAUGGGCAAGGAGCCGCUCCUGUCUGAUUCUGAAACUUGCUUCUGUAUUUUGAAAAAGAUCAGAACUGCUGAACGAAAAAAGCUCCACU